This 211-nucleotide long non-coding RNA is filed under the name Brassica napus (rape). RNAcentral describes it as "long non-coding RNA (BNAP_LNC011871)". Lineage: Eukaryota; Viridiplantae; Streptophyta; Magnoliopsida; Brassicales; Brassicaceae. The record is from RNAcentral.
UCGCUCGGUCCACUUCCUGGCCGAACCUCUUAAUUUUUUCCCUUUAUUUAUAAUAUCGCCUAAAUGCGAGGGCUAACUUAAAUCUUAGCUAAGGACUUCCCUAGUCAUUAAUAGCCUAGAUCCUUUCAACAGAUACGCAGCGGAAUAUUCUCUAGUUAACCAAUGGUCUAAAACCAAUCUAACACUUGUCUGGUCGAAUCACCUUAGCCUU